Molecule: ribosomal RNA, 417 nt
Filed under: Triticum aestivum (bread wheat)
Lineage: Eukaryota; Viridiplantae; Streptophyta; Magnoliopsida; Poales; Poaceae
Description: partial small subunit ribosomal RNA
Source: RNAcentral
AUGAAGCUCUGGGCCACCAAUGAGGUCCGCGCCAAGUCCAAGUUCUGGUACUUCCUGAGGAAGCUCAAGAAGGUGAAGAAGGCCAACAGCCAGAUGCUCGCCAUCAACGAGGUAUAUCACUUCCCUCUAGUUGCCAUGAUCCGUGGAUGCAACUUUAAUUGUGCUGGCUGCGAGGCAUGCAACAAGGACGUAGCCAUCGUCCUUAUCGACCUCCACAGCUGCAGCCUCGACUCCAAGAUACGCCUCAGCCUCGAGUCGCAGGUGGUGGAGAAGGCCAUCGAGAUCCAGGAGAAGAAGAGGAAGGCGCCCUCAGCUGCCAUCGGAGGCAAGGGGAAGAAGAAGAGCAAGGUGUACGGAGAUGGUGCCAAGAAGCCAAAGGCAAAGCACCCACCGACCGCCUUCUUCCUCUUCAUGUAA